UUCAUGGAGAGUUUGAUCCUGGCUCAGGACGAACGCUGGCGGCUUGCCUAAUACAUGCAAGUCGAGCGGACCGAC
RNAcentral lists this ribosomal RNA (75 nucleotides) under Bacillus haynesii. RNAcentral's name for it is "partial 16S ribosomal RNA". It matches the Rfam family "Bacterial small subunit ribosomal RNA", at positions 1 to 75 of the family's 1533-position model. Lineage: Bacteria; Bacillati; Bacillota; Bacilli; Caryophanales; Bacillaceae. The record is from RNAcentral.